Molecule: long non-coding RNA, 1661 nt
Organism: Vulpes vulpes (red fox)
Lineage: Eukaryota; Metazoa; Chordata; Mammalia; Carnivora; Canidae
Source: Ensembl
GAAAUGGUCAGAAGCUGUUUAUGUAGCUGCGAACUGCUCAACAACGGACAGGAAGACUGGGGUUCAGCAAAGCCCUUGGGGCUUUUUCCCUUGAGAUGCGCCCGGGCUUCUCCUGGGGUUGCUGGGACUGCAUGCCAACGAAUUCCACCCGGCUGGCUUUCCUCAGCCUGUCAGACUCACUUUGCACUGGGUUCCUGAGGGGCUGGGGCACUGUUGCCAAUCUCUACGGUUACCCCGAGGUUUGGACUUGGGGAUGAAGAGAGCCAUUUCUGCAAGAAAACAGGAGAUUCUUACUGUAGAACAGUCACGGAAACGUCAUCUUCCAAAGCACAUGCUUUUGAAUAACAAAGCUUACAGUGCGCGCCCCCCCGCCCCAGAUUGAUCCUUGUACAUAUUUCAUCGCAGCCGUUUCCUUUUCCACACACACACACACACACACACACACACACACACACUCUCCAGCUUGAAAGCACACACUGGACGAGCGAGUCUCCAGGUCGGUAACACUGCCUGUCUGGCCAAUGUCCUUCGCCUGAGGACAAGUAGGUAAAACCUCCCAAAAGCCCCCUCUUCCGGCUUCUCAAGUUCACUGUGGUCCGUCACUUGCACCCCUCGUGCUCGGCAAUUCUCAGCCUCAGAGCAGCAGCGUUCGUCUCCCUGGGGAGGGCGCCUUAAAACGCCUCAAAUUCUCGGGCUACCUGAGGGCCGGAGGUUUGGGGACCGCGCGGGUCGCGCCCCCUCGCGCCCCACUACCCGGGUCUCAAAGGAAGGGGCCACGGCGCUGCCUGCUCCCCGUCGCGGAGCGGCACGUCCUCUAAACCUCUGCGCGGGGGCCGGGCUGUCGUCGCGAGCUCCGGGUCCAGGUGCGGCGCCCUUUCCCAGGGCGGCGCGCAGGGGCCCGGGGCCUCCUCUCACGGCCGGGGCCGGCCAGGUGCUGCUCCCGGGCGCGCGCCUCCUCCCGCCGCGCACUGCGCAUGCUCAGCCCGGCAGCGCGCCGGCUCCCGCCCUCCCGGCGUCUCUCCUCUCCUGCACGCGUCUCCGCCUCCUCGAGGCUGAGGAGCCGGCAGCCUCAACUCCGCCGCGCCGGGUUUUUGGAGCCGCCGCGAGCGCUGGGAGGGAGGGGAGCGCGGCGUCCGACAGAGCACCGGGUUCAACGCGGGGAUUGGUCGCAAGUAGGCAGCUUUCGCCACUCCAGCGGGACCCUCCGGCCGUGCCGACGCCGCACCCGGAGGCUGUGGCGGGCGCCGCCGCGCUCAGGUGCUGAGCAGGGUCACAUGCUCAUCUGCAUUCAUCAAGGCUUUGGAAGGAAAAAGAACUUGGAGAAUGUUCAUUGUUCAGACCUGCAAAUCAUGUGUAUCACUUUUGCUUUCAUUCCAGUGGCCAUAACUCCAUUGUAUGUAGGUGGAUCUUACUAUAAUGGAGCCUGAGGAAUAUGUAUAGUUGUGUGUCCAGGAAGGAGAAGAAACGAUUAGGUGAACAGCGAGCAUUUCUGACACUCGAUUACUAUGUGUGGUAUUACCUCCAUGUUCAGUAAAUGUUACUUACCCUUCCUUCCCCCAACCCCUGGUUUUCCUGGCAGACAAACCAGGACAGUUAUAAGGAAAAAGAUAAUAGAAGCAGUUAAAACAUAUAUAGAUAGCCCUUACUAUUUUUGAGAUACU